ACUGCCGGUGACAAACCGGAGGAAGUGGGGAUGACGUCAAGUCCUCAUGGCCCUUAUAGGUGGGGCUACACACGUCAUACAAUGGCCGGUACAGAGGGUAGCCAACCCGCAGGGGGAGCCAAUACCCACAAAGCCGGUCGUAGUCCGGAUCGCAGUCUGCAACUCGACUGCGUGAAGUCGGAAUCGCUAGUAAUCGCGGAUCAGCAUGUCGCGGUGAAUACGUUCCCGGGCCUU
RNAcentral lists this ribosomal RNA (234 nucleotides) under uncultured Allobrachymonas sp. RNAcentral's name for it is "uncultured Brachymonas sp. partial 16S ribosomal RNA". It matches the Rfam family "Bacterial small subunit ribosomal RNA", at positions 1148 to 1382 of the family's 1533-position model. Lineage: Bacteria; Pseudomonadati; Pseudomonadota; Betaproteobacteria; Burkholderiales; Comamonadaceae. The record is from RNAcentral.